AUUGAACGCUGGCGGCAGGCCUAACACAUGCAAGUCGAGCGGAUGAAGGGAGCUUGCUCCUGGAUUCAGCGGCGGACGGGUGAGUAAUGCCUAGGAAUCUGCCUGGUAGUGGGGGAUAACGUCCGGAAACGGGCGCUAAUACCGCAUACGUCCUGAGGGAGAAAGUGGGGGAUCUUCGGACCUCACGCUAUCAGAUGAGCCUAGGUCGGAUUAGCUAGUUGGUGGGGUAAAGGCCUACCAAGGCGACGAUCCGUAACUGGUCUGAGAGGAUGAUCAGUCACACUGGAACUGAGACACGGUCCAGACUCCUACGGGAGGCAGCAGUGGGGAAUAUUGGACAAUGGGCGAAAGCCUGAUCCAGCCAUGCCGCGUGUGUGAAGAAGGUCUUCGGAUUGUAAAGCACUUUAAGUUGGGAGGAAGGGCAGUAAGUUAAUACCUUGCUGUUUUGACGUUACAAACAGAAUAAGCACCGGCUAACUACGUG
Molecule: ribosomal RNA, 484 nt
Filed under: uncultured bacterium
Lineage: Bacteria
Description: partial 16S ribosomal RNA
Rfam family: Bacterial small subunit ribosomal RNA
Source: RNAcentral